This 24-nucleotide non-coding RNA is filed under the name Mus musculus (house mouse). Lineage: Eukaryota; Metazoa; Chordata; Mammalia; Rodentia; Muridae. The record is from RNAcentral.
UGAAAGUUGCUAUUGACUUGGGGU